RNAcentral lists this ribosomal RNA (253 nucleotides) under uncultured bacterium. Its description in RNAcentral is "partial 16S ribosomal RNA". It matches the Rfam family "Bacterial small subunit ribosomal RNA", at positions 524 to 776 of the family's 1533-position model. The record is from RNAcentral.
UACGAAGGGGGCUAGCGUUGUUCGGAUUUACUGGGCGUAAAGCGCACGUAGGCGGACUAUUAAGUCAGGGGUGAAAUCCCGGGGCUCAACCCCGGAACUGCCUUUGAUACUGGUAGUCUUGAGUUCGAGAGAGGUGAGUGGAAUUCCGAGUAUAGAGGUGAAAUUCGUAGAUAUUCGGAGGAACACCAGUGGCGAAGGCGGCUCACUGGCUCGAUACUGACGCUGAGGUGCGAAAGCGUGGGGAGCAAACAGG